GGAAAAGUUAAAGGGGGCCGAAUACUUUUGCAAGCCACUGUAUGUGCCUCAGGGAAGGUCUGAGACUGGAGCUCCUAGUUGCCCCUGCAGGGCAUCCCUUGGAUGAAGGGGGUGGGUCCCCAGAGAACUUGACUCUGAUUGCCAAUAGGAUACCCCGCUAAUGGAGAUAACGUAUUACCAAUAGGAUACC
Molecule: ribozyme, 190 nt
Organism: Xenopus tropicalis (tropical clawed frog)
Lineage: Eukaryota; Metazoa; Chordata; Amphibia; Anura; Pipidae
Rfam family: Nuclear RNase P
About the family: Ribonuclease P (RNase P) is a ubiquitous endoribonuclease, found in archaea, bacteria and eukarya as well as chloroplasts and mitochondria.
Source: Ensembl